UCGAGCGGGCGUAGCAAUACGUCAGCGGCAGACGGGUGAGUAACGCGUGGGAACGUACCUUUUGGUUCGGAACAACACAGGGAAACUUGUGCUAAUACCGGAUAAGCCCUUACGGGGAAAGAUUUAUCGCCGAAAGAUCGGCCCGCGUCUGAUUAGCUAGUUGGUGAGGUAAUGGCUCACCAAGGCGACGAUCAGUAGCUGGUCUGAGAGGAUGAUCAGCCACAUUGGGACUGAGACACGGCCCAAACUCCUACGGGAGGCAGCAGUGGGGAAUAUUGGACAAUGGGGGCAACCCUGAUCCAGCCAUGCCGCGUGAGUGAUGAAGGCCCUAGGGUUGUAAAGCUCUUUUGUGCGGGAAGAUAAUGACGGUACCGCAAGAAUAAGCCCCGGCUAACUUCGUGCCAGCAGCCGCGGUAAUACGAAGGGGGCUAGCGUUGCUCGGAAUCACUGGGCGUAAAGGGUGCGUAGGCGGGUCUUUAAGUCAGGGGUGAAAUCCUGGAGCUCAACUCCAGAACUGCCUUUGAUACUGAGGAUCUUGAGUUCGGGAGAGGUGAGUGGAACUGCGAGUGUAGAGGUGAAAUUCGUAGAUAUUCGCAAGAACACCAGUGGCGAAGGCGGCU
Molecule: ribosomal RNA, 620 nt
Filed under: Bradyrhizobium japonicum
Lineage: Bacteria; Pseudomonadati; Pseudomonadota; Alphaproteobacteria; Hyphomicrobiales; Nitrobacteraceae
Description: bacterial SSU rRNA
Rfam family: Bacterial small subunit ribosomal RNA
Source: RNAcentral